RNAcentral lists this ribosomal RNA (497 nucleotides) under uncultured bacterium. RNAcentral describes it as "partial 16S ribosomal RNA". It matches the Rfam family "Bacterial small subunit ribosomal RNA", at positions 28 to 507 of the family's 1533-position model. The record is from RNAcentral.
GAUGAACGCUGGCGGCGUGCCUAAUACAUGCAAGUCGAGCGAACGGACGAGAAGCUUGCUUCUCUGAUGUUAGCGGCGGACGGGUGAGUAACACGUGGAUAACCUACCUAUAAGACUGGGAUAACUUCGGGAAACCGGAGCUAAUACCGGAUGAUAUUUUGAACCGCAUGGUUCAAAAGUGAAAGACGGUCUUGCUGUCACUUAUAGAUGGAUCCGCGCUGCAUUAGCUAGUUGGUAAGGUAACGGCUUACCAAGGCAACGAUGCAUAGCCGACCUGAGAGGGUGAUCGGCCACCCUGGAACUGAGACACGGUCCAGACUCCUACGGUAGGCAGCAGUAGGGAAUCUUCCGCAAUGGGCGAAAGUCUGACGGAGCAACGCCGCGUGAGUGAUGAAGGUCUUCGGAUCGUAAAACUCUGUUAUUAGGGAAGAACAUAUGUGUAAGUACCUGUGCACAUCUUGACGGUACCUAAUCAGAAAGCCACGGCUAACUACGUG